UCGGGAAUUUUGGGCAAUGGGCGAAAGCCUGACCCAGCAACGCCGCGUGAAGGAUGAAGUAUUUCGGUAUGUAAACUUCGAAAGAAUAGGAAGAAUAAAUGACGGUACUAUUUAUAAGGUCCGGCUAACUACGUGCCAGCAGCCGCGGUAAUACGUAGGGACCAAGCGUUGUUCGGAUUUACUGGGCGUAAAGGGUGCGUAGGCGGCAUAUCAAGUCACUUGUGAAAUCUCCGGGCUUAACUCGGAACUGCCAAGUGAUACUGAUGUGCUAGAGUGCAGAAAGGGCAACUGGAAUUCUUGGUGUAGCGGUGAAAUGCGUAGAUAUCAAGAGGAACACCUGAGGCGAAGGCGAGUUGCUAGGCUGACACUGACGCUGAGGUACGAAAGCUAGGGGAGCGAACGGGAUUAGAUACCCCUGUAGUCCCUGAGCGGGCUGGCAAGGCGCAU
Molecule: ribosomal RNA, 447 nt
Filed under: uncultured bacterium
Lineage: Bacteria
Description: bacterial SSU rRNA
Rfam family: Bacterial small subunit ribosomal RNA
Source: RNAcentral